CCUACGGGGGGUAGCAGUCGAGAAUCAUUCACAAUGGGGGAAACCCUGAUGGUGCGACGCCGCGUGGGGGAAUGAAGGUCUUCGGAUUGUAAACCCCUGUCAUGUGGGAGCAAAUUAAAAAGAUAGUACCACAAGAGGAAGAGACGGCUAACUCUGUGCCAGCAGCCGCGGUAAUACAGAGGUCUCAAGCGUUGUUCGGAAUCACUGGGCGUAAAGGGUGCGUAGGCUGUUUCGUAAGUCGUGUGUGAAAGGCGCGGGCUCAACCCGCGGACGGCACAUGAUACUGCGAGACUAGAGUAAUGGAGGGGGAACCGGAAUUCUCGGUGUAGCAGUGAAAUGCGUAGAUAUCGAGAGGAACACUCGUGGCGAAGGCGGGUUCCUGGACAUUAACUGACGCUGAGGCACGAAGGCCAGGGGAGCGAAAGGGAUUAGAUACCCGAGUAGUC
Molecule: ribosomal RNA, 446 nt
Filed under: uncultured bacterium
Lineage: Bacteria
Description: partial 16S ribosomal RNA
Rfam family: Bacterial small subunit ribosomal RNA
Source: RNAcentral